Molecule: ribosomal RNA, 685 nt
Filed under: uncultured Bacteroidales bacterium
Lineage: Bacteria; Pseudomonadati; Bacteroidota; Bacteroidia; Bacteroidales
Description: bacterial SSU rRNA
Rfam family: Bacterial small subunit ribosomal RNA
Source: RNAcentral
CUUAACACAUGCAAGUCGAGGGGGCAGCAUGAACUUAGCUUGCUAAGUUUGAUGGCGACCGGCGCACGGGUGAGUAACACGUAUCCAACCUGCCGAUGACUCGGGGAUAGCCUUUCGAAAGAAAGAUUAAUACCCGAUGGCAUAGUUCUUCCGCAUGGUAGAACUAUUAAAGAAUUUCGGUCAUCGAUGGGGAUGCGUUCCAUUAGGUUGUUGGCGGGGUAACGGCCCACCAAGCCUUCGAUGGAUAGGGGUUCUGAGAGGAAGGUCCCCUACAUUGGAACUGAGACACGGUCCAAACUCCUACGGGAGGCAGCAGUGAGGAAUAUUGGUCAAUGGACGAGAGUCUGAACCAGCCAAGUAGCGUGAAGGAUGACUGCCCUAUGGGUUGUAAACUUCUUUUAUACGGGAAUAAAGUGAGGCACGUGUGCCUUUUUGUAUGUACCGUAUGAAUAAGGAUCGGCUAACUCCGUGCCAGCAGCCGCGGUAAUACGGAGGAUCCGAGCGUUAUCCGGAUUUAUUGGGUUUAAAGGGAGCGUAGGCGGACGCUUAAGUCAGUUGUGAAAGUUUGCGGCUCAACCGUAAAAUUGCAGUUGAUACUGGAUAUCUUGAGUGCAGUUGAGGCAGGCGGAAUUCGUGGUGUAGCGGUGAAAUGCUUAGAUAUCACGAAGAACUCCGAUUGCGAAGG